UCAUCUGUGAAGGCAGUCUGAAAUUAGCGGGUGAAACUCCUUACACAGGGUAAAUAUAAACCAUAUGGGGUGCCCAUGCUGUUUGUUGCUCUUCUUGAAGGCAGACUGUGUGAAGACAGACUGAGGAAUGUCUCUUUUAAGGCUUUAUGUGACUCUAAACGGAGGGCUGAACCUUCAAGCAGAGGAGUCUGAGUCAUCAACUGACACCUCUAAUCAAGUCUGACCUAAUCAACCACGGACGGCUGUGGAGGUCUAGUGCUCAACCAGCGGACAGAGAUCCAGGAUUCUCACUGGGUCGCAACCACAGGAGAACCAGUUCCAGUUCUGAGAAUCCACACUUGAGAUCCCGUAGGGCUUCCAGCGGCACACUGUCCACGUCUGAGAUGUAUUCAAGAGCUCAUCUUUGUUGCAGCUACUCUCAUGGAACUCUUCUCACUGAGAACUGAACAGGAACAAACUAUUUCCUGGUUUGUCUCAGGUGAGUCAGGUGAGGGGUGGAGCUUUGUCAGACCAUCUCUGCUAAAUGCUGUCGCUUCACCUGUAAGACAGGUUGUGUUUCAUUCCAAAGUCUUAAUUAAUUGCUGGAUAUGUGGACUGAUGGUGUGCAGCAGGCUGUUACAACAGCUGAUUAUGUUCAAAAGUAGUUUGAUCUCAGUGGAGGAGUUCAAAUAUAACUUAGUAAAAUCCUGGGAAUAUUCUGAGAAUGAGGGACAUGGAAUAUCGAAGGAAACGGGUAAUGUGGACAUUGUUGGAGAGGGGUAGUAUGUACCAUAAGGAGUGUCAAUGAAUGGUCGCAUGGAAUAAUUUAUGUACGGGGUACCAUGGAAUAUUGCAGCAAAGGGAAACAUUGGAAUAUCAUGAGAAAAGGGGUACCAUGAUAUGGUGUAGGUAGUAUUAUUAUAUGAAAUGGGUGCCCAGAAAUAUUAUAAGUAGAGUGUACCACAGAACAUUUUAGGUAAGGGGUACCAUGGAAUAGGCAGCAGUGAAUGCUGUAUGUAAGGAAUACAGUAGGAAAUGGGGACCAUGCAUUAUUGUCAGUAAGGGGUACCAUGUAAUACUGUAGGUAAGUGAUACAACGGAAUGGGUACCAUGUAUAAAAGAGUAUCAGGUAAUAUUCUUGUUUUAUUGAUCAAUUUUAAAUUGCUGUUUGUUUUCAUUGUUGUUGUUUUUGUGUGGAGCCCAGGAAGACUAGCGACCAACACGUCAUCAUACCUAAACGACAGAAUAGGUCGACUGCCAAUAACUCCUAAAACGACAUAUAUGACCGGUGGAAAGUACCAGUGACAGGCGCACCGGACCUUAAGUAAGUUACGUAAGUCACAUGACGUUAAACACGUGAUAAAUGUUGUGAAACUCUCCCUCUCCAUCUGUAUGCCUUUUUAUCCCAUUACUGCAUGUUACUAACUCGACGUCUUCUCUCUCCCAUAGUUCUGUGCUUUCUCGUUUCUCUCCUCUCUCCUUCUGUCGC
Molecule: long non-coding RNA, 1468 nt
Organism: Siniperca chuatsi (mandarin fish)
Lineage: Eukaryota; Metazoa; Chordata; Actinopteri; Centrarchiformes; Sinipercidae
Exons: 4
Source: RefSeq, a predicted model, not a curated record